This 404-nucleotide ribosomal RNA is filed under the name uncultured bacterium. Its description in RNAcentral is "bacterial SSU rRNA". It matches the Rfam family "Bacterial small subunit ribosomal RNA", at positions 917 to 1345 of the family's 1533-position model. The record is from RNAcentral.
GGGCCCGCACAAGCGGUGGAGUAUGUGGUUUAAUUCGAUGCAACGCGAAGAACCUUACCUGGCCUUGACAUGCAUCUCUAAGUGUGUGAAAGCACAUGACCCCUCGGGGAAUUUGCACAGGUGCUGCAUGGCUGUCGUCAGCUCGUGUCGUGAGAUGUUGGGUUAAGUCCCGCAACGAGCGCAACCCACGUCUUUAGUUGCCAGCAUUUAGUUGGGCACUCUAGAGAGACUGCCGGUGAUAAACCGGAGGAAGGUGUGGAUGACGUCAAGUCCUCAUGGCCCUUACGGGUUGGGCUACACACGUGCUACAAUGGCAUCUACAGUGGGUUAAUCCCCAAAAGAUGUCUCAGUUCGGAUUGUCGUCUGCAACUCGACGGCAUGAAGUCGGAAUCGCUAGUAAUCGC